This is a non-coding RNA of Picea glauca (white spruce), 121 nucleotides long. The record is from Rfam. NCBI's taxonomy places the organism in Eukaryota, Viridiplantae, Streptophyta, Pinopsida, Pinales, Pinaceae.
ACAUGCUUACAACAUAGUGUUAAUGCUAUGGAUCCCAUUAGAACUCCGUAGUUAAACAAGAUCAAGUUAAAGUAGUACCAGAAUGGGUGAUCGCUCGAGAAGUCCUAGUGUUUUACAUGCC